Molecule: non-coding RNA, 73 nt
Organism: Salinomyces thailandicus
Lineage: Eukaryota; Fungi; Ascomycota; Dothideomycetes; Mycosphaerellales; Teratosphaeriaceae
Source: the annotation of a GenBank genome assembly
GGCCGCAUGGCCCAAUGGUCAAGGCGCUUGACUACGAAUCAAGAGAUUCCAGGUUCGAAUCCUGGUGUGGUCA